GAUGAACGCUAGCUACAGGCUUAACACAUGCAAGUCGAGGGACCGGCGCACGGGUGCGUAACACGUAUCCAUCCUGCCCUUUACCCGGGGAUAGCCUUUCGAAAGAAAGAUUAAUACCCGAUGUAAAGGAUGGGGAUGCGUUCGAUUAGGUUGUUGGUGAGGGAACGGCUCACCAAGCCUUCGAUGGAUAGGGGUUGUGGGAGGAAGGUCCCCCACAUUGGAGCUGAGACACGGACCAAACUCGUACGGGGGGGAGCAGUGAGGAAGAUUGGGGAAUAGACGUUGACCUGAACCAGCCAAGUAGCGUGAAGGAGGAAUGCGUAGGGGUCGUAAACUUCUUUUAAAUAAGAAUAUGUAUUAUAUGAAUAAGGAUCGGCUAACUCCGUGCCAGCAGCCGCGGUAAUUC
RNAcentral lists this ribosomal RNA (406 nucleotides) under uncultured bacterium. Its description in RNAcentral is "partial 16S ribosomal RNA". It matches the Rfam family "Bacterial small subunit ribosomal RNA", at positions 28 to 526 of the family's 1533-position model. The record is from RNAcentral.